GGCCCGCACAAGCGGUGGAGCAUGUGGUUUAAUUCGAUGCAACGCGAAGAACCUUACCUGGUCUUGACAUCCACGGAAGUUUUCAGAGAUGAGAAUGUGCCUUCGGGAACCGUGAGACAGGUGCUGCAUGGCUGUCGUCAGCUCGUGUUGUGAAAUGUUGGGUUAAGUCCCGCAACGAGCGCAACCCUUAUCCUUUGUUGCCAGCGGUCCGGCCGGGAACUCAAAGGAGACUGCCAGUGAUAAACUGGAGGAAGGUGGGGAUGACGUCAAGUCAUCAUGGCCCUUACGACCAGGGCUACACACGUGCUACAAUGGCGCAUACAAAGAGAAGCGACCUCGCGAGAGCAAGCGGACCUCAUAAAGUGCGUCGUAGUCCGGAUUGGAGUCUGCAACUCGACUCCAUGAAGUCGGAAUCGCUAGUAAUCGUGGAUCAGAAUGCCACGGUGAAUACGUUCCCGGGCCUUGUACACACCGCCCGUCACACCAUGGGAGUGGGUUGCAAAAGAAGUAGGUAGCUUAACCUUCGGGAGGGCGCUUACCACUUUGUGAUUCAUGACUGGGGUGAAGUCGUAACAAGGUAACCGUAGGGGAACCUGCGGUUGGAUCAC
This 608-nucleotide ribosomal RNA is filed under the name Escherichia coli. RNAcentral's name for it is "bacterial SSU rRNA". It matches the Rfam family "Bacterial small subunit ribosomal RNA", at positions 918 to 1526 of the family's 1533-position model. The record is from RNAcentral. RNAcentral also lists the same sequence under 1 other name. Lineage: Bacteria; Pseudomonadati; Pseudomonadota; Gammaproteobacteria; Enterobacterales; Enterobacteriaceae.